Molecule: ribosomal RNA, 420 nt
Filed under: Fusobacteriota bacterium
Lineage: Bacteria; Fusobacteriati; Fusobacteriota
Description: Fusobacteria bacterium partial 16S ribosomal RNA
Rfam family: Bacterial small subunit ribosomal RNA
Source: RNAcentral
UGGGGGAUAUUGCACAAUGGGCGAAAGCCUGAUGCAGCGACGCCGCGUGGGGGAUGAAGGCCUUCGGGUUGUAAACUUCUUUUGCUCUGAACAAGGCAUGCCUUUGGGGUGUGUUGAGUGUAGGGGUUGAUUAGCGCCGGCUAACUACGUGCCAGCAGCCGCGGUAAUACGUAGGGCGCGAGCGUUGUCCGGAAUUAUUGGUCGUAAAGGGCUUGUAGGUGGCUGGUUGCGUCUGUCGUGAAAGCUCAUGGCUUAACUGUGGGUUUGCGGUGGGUACGGGCUGGCUUGAGUGCAGUAGGGGAGGCUGGAAUUCCUGGUGUAGCGGUGGAAUGCGCAGAUAUCAGGAGGAAUACCGGUGGCGAAGGCGGGUCUCUGGGCUGUUACUGACGCUGAGGAGCGAAAGCGUGGGGAGCGAACAGG